This 74-nucleotide transfer RNA is filed under the name Chloroflexota bacterium. RNAcentral describes it as "tRNA-Val". It matches the Rfam family "tRNA". Rfam says of the family: Transfer RNA (tRNA) molecules are approximately 80 nucleotides in length. Their secondary structure includes four short double-helical elements and three loops (D, anti-codon, and T loops). RNAcentral also lists the same sequence under 3 other names. The record is from RNAcentral. Lineage: Bacteria; Bacillati; Chloroflexota.
GGGCGCGUAGCUCAGUUGGUUAGAGCACGCGGUUCACAUCCGCGGGGUCACAGGUUCGAGUCCUGUCGCGCCCA